Molecule: ribosomal RNA, 1246 nt
Filed under: Emeia pseudosauteri
Lineage: Eukaryota; Metazoa; Arthropoda; Insecta; Coleoptera; Lampyridae
Description: 16S ribosomal RNA
Rfam family: Archaeal large subunit ribosomal RNA (bases 1010-1168)
Source: RNAcentral
UUUAAUUAAAUUAUUUUUAUAAUUUAAUAAAAAUAUUUUUAUUUUAUUAAUUAUUAAGAAAAAUUUUUUUUAAUUAUAGUUUAUUAUUAAUGUGAAUGAAAUUUUAAAAAUUUUUAAAAGAAGAAUUAAUUUUUUGUACCUUUUGUAUCAGGGUUGAUUAAAUUAAAAUCAUUUAAAUGAUUUUCUCGAAUUUAAAAGGGCUAAUUAAUUAUUUAUUUAUUUGUAAUAUAAAAUUUUAAAAUAAUUAAUUUGAAAUGAAAUUUUAUUCGUUUUUAAAUAUAUCUAGUUUUUUAAGAAAAGAAUUUAAUUCUAUUAUUAUUUAUUUAAAGAUUAAUUUUUAAUUUUUAAGUUUUAAUAUUUAAUAUUUAAUGGGAUGAGCUUUUAUUUAAAGUUUUAAAAAUUUUAUUUUAUUAAUAUUUUGUAUAAUUUGAAUUGUUAAUCAUAGUUAUAAUUUAAUAGUUAUUUAUUUUUUAAUUAUUAAUUUAUAUAAAUUUUAAAUUUUUUAUUAAAAAUUAAUUUUAUAUUUUAUAUUAUUAGUUAUUAUGAUUAAAUUAGUAAAUUUGUUAUUUAAAGAUAAAAAAAGAAUUAGUUUAUGAAAAGGAAUUCGGCAAAUUAAUUUUCUGCCUGUUUAUUAAAAACAUGUCCUUUUGAAAAUAAUUUAAGGUCUAAUCUGCUCAGUGAAAAUUAAAUAGCCGCAGUAUUUUAACUGUGCAAAGGUAGCAUAAUAAAUAGUUUUUUAAUUGAAAUCUGGAAUGAAUGAUUGGACAAGAAAAUAUCUGUCUCUUUAUAAAUUGUUUUUGAAUUUAAUUUUUAAGUUAAAAAGCUUAAAUGUUUUUAAAAGACGAGAAGACCCUAUAGAGUUUUAUUUAUUUUAAUUAAUUUAGAAUUUAAUUUUUAACAAUAAAUUUGGUUGGGGUGAUUAAAAGAUUUAAUAAACUCUUUUAUUUUUUAUCAUUGAUUUAUGAAUUUUGAAUCUUUAUUUUAAAAUUUUAAAUUAAAUUACCUUAGGGAUAACAGCGUAAUUUUUUUUUAAAGUUCUUAUUGAAAGAAAAGUUUGCGACCUCGAUGUUGGAUUAAAAUUUAUUUUUGGUGUAGAAGCUGAAAUAUUAAGUCUGUUCGACUUUUAAAAUUUUACAUGAUCUGAGUUUAAACCGGUGUGAGCCAGGUUGGUUUCUAUCUUUAAUUUAAUAAAAUAUUUUAGUACGAAAGGACCAAAUAUUUAAUAAUUUAUUUAUAUUUGAAUAUU